AGACCGAAAAUUCGAAACGACGGCGUUUAAGGCUUGCGUGAAAGGUGAAACUUCACGUUGGAUUUAAGAUUCGUAAACGUUGCCGUCAAUUUGCCGGAAUAAGAAAAUCGAGAUAUCGCCACAUGUCACACACUCACACAAUGAUGACUCCUUCGGAAAAACGUUAAUGUGACGGCUCCGUUCUCCAUCACCGCCGUUGACGUGUCCCCUUUUUCCCUUUCAUUCCUUCGUUUCCUAAAUCACCGUUUCUUCCCUCUCUCUCUCUCUCUCUCUCUCUCUCUGUCUGUGAAUUUUGUUCAUUUCACAGAACAGUUAGGUUUCUUUUGCUUUACUCACAAACCAAAAGCAUAACUUCACUUCAUUUCACUGGCUAAGGUGUAGUUUAGCUGUAACAUUAAUAAUACAUUCAGCUGGAAAAAUUUGGUCCCCUUCAUGUGCCUAUUGUUGCGUGCAUUGUUGGAAAAAACUGAAUUAGAGAGAUGGCUAUUGCUGGUGUGCAUAGUGUGGCUGUGAUUGACUCUACACUUCUUAGGGAGUCUCAUUCUCAGUUAUCAGGUAGGCGAGGGGAUGGAGGAGGGAGGGGAGGUGCCCGUUCAUCUUCCCUCUUGCAAAUGUGGCGAGAAAUCGAGGAUGAACACAUGGCGGGUCAAGUUCAGGGGAGGUCUGGGGAGUUGUUAAUUAGGCAGAGGAGUGAUGGAUUGAUCUCGGACCUGUCGCAGGAUGAUGCCUCUCGGAGAGGAGAAGGUGAAGGGCAUAUGAUAGAAGAUGCAAUUUCGGGUGAGAAUGAAUCAGAAACAUGGUCACAGUCACAAAGUCAGAAUGAUUCUCGUGACGAUGAACACGAGGGUUUAGGCAAUUCU
Arachis duranensis is the source of this 860-nucleotide long non-coding RNA. RefSeq lists it as uncharacterized. NCBI's taxonomy places the organism in Eukaryota, Viridiplantae, Streptophyta, Magnoliopsida, Fabales, Fabaceae. The transcript is spliced from 3 exons. The record is from RefSeq and is a predicted model, not a curated record.